Molecule: transfer RNA, 89 nt
Filed under: Candidatus Dojkabacteria bacterium
Lineage: Bacteria
Description: tRNA-Ser
Rfam family: tRNA
About the family: Transfer RNA (tRNA) molecules are approximately 80 nucleotides in length.
Source: RNAcentral
GGAGAGGUGACAGAGUGGUCGAAUGUGACGGUCUUGAAAACCGUUGUACGGUUUCCGUACCGUGGGUUCGAAUCCCACCCUCUCCGCCA